RNAcentral lists this ribosomal RNA (466 nucleotides) under uncultured bacterium. RNAcentral describes it as "partial 16S ribosomal RNA". It matches the Rfam family "Bacterial small subunit ribosomal RNA", at positions 28 to 507 of the family's 1533-position model. The record is from RNAcentral.
GAUGAACGCUGGCGGCGUGCUUAACACAUGCAAGUCGAACGAUGAAGCCCAGCUUGCUGGGUGGAUUAGUGGCGAACGGGUGAGUAACACGUGAGUAACCUGCCCUUAACUCUGGGAUAAGCCUGGGAAACUGGGUCUAAUACCGGAUAGGAGCGUCCACCGCAUGGUGGGUGUUGGAAAGAUUUAUCGGUUUUGGAUGGACUCGCGGCCUAUCAGCUUGUUGGUGAGGUAAUGGCUCACCAAGGCGACGACGGGUAGCCGGCCUGAGAGGGUGACCGGCCACACUGGGACUGAGACACGGCCCAGACUCCUACUGGAGGCAGCAGUGGGGAAUAUUGCACAAUGGGCGCAAGCCUGAUGCAGCGACGCCGCGUGAGGGAUGACGGCCUUCGGGUUGUAAACCUCUUUCAGUAGGGAAGAAGCGAAAGUGACGGUACCUGCAGAAGAAGCACCGGCUAACUACGUG